RNAcentral lists this non-coding RNA (46 nucleotides) under Schistosoma bovis. The record is from RNAcentral. RNAcentral also lists the same sequence under 1 other name. Lineage: Eukaryota; Metazoa; Platyhelminthes; Trematoda; Strigeidida; Schistosomatidae.
GCACUGCUGAGGAGUCCCAUACUAGGACGAAACGGCCGUCCAGUGN